GGAUCCAGACUUUGAUUAUGGCUCAGGAUGAACGCUAGCUACAGGCUUAACACAUGCAAGUCGAGGGGAAACGACAUCGAAAGCUUGCUUUUGAUGGGCGUCGACCGGCGCACGGGUGAGUAACGCGUAUCCAACCUGCCCACCACUUGGGGAUAACCUUGCGAAAGUAAGACUAAUACCCAAUGAUAUCUCUAGAAGACAUCUGAAAGGGAUUAAAGAUUUAUCGGUGAUGGAUGGGGAUGCGUCUGAUUAGCUUGUUGGCGGGGUAACGGCCCACCAAGGCGACGAUCAGUAGGGGUUCUGAGAGGAAGGUCCCCCACAUUGGAACUGAGACACGGUCCAAACUCCUACGGGAGGCAGCAGUGAGGAAUAUUGGUCAAUGGGCGAGAGCCUGAACCAGCCAAGUAGCGUGCAGGAUGACGGCCCUAUGGGUUGUAAACUGCUUUUAUAAGGGAAUAAAGUGAGUCUCGUGAGACUUUUUGCAUGUACCUUAUGAAUAAGGACCGGCUAAUUCCGUGCCAGCAGCCGCGGUAAUACGGAAGGUCCGGGCGUUAUCCGGAUUUAUUGGGUUUAAAGGGAGCGUAGGCCGGAGAUUAAGCGUGUUGUGAAAUGUAGACGCUCAACGUCUGCACUGCAGCGCGAACUGGUUUCCUUGAGUACGCACAAAGUGGGCGGAAUUCGUGGUGUAGCGGUGAAAUGCUUAGAUAUCACGAAGAACUCCGAUUGCGAAGGCAGCUCACUGGAGCGCAACUGACGCUGAAGCUCGAAAGUGCGGGUAUCGAACAGGAUUAGAUACCCUGGUAGUCCGCACGGUAAACGAUGGAUGCCCGCUGUUGGUCUGAAUAGGUCAGCGGCCAAGCGAAAGCAUUAAGCAUCCCACCUGGGGAGUACGCCGGCAACGGUGCAACUCAAAUGAAUUGACGG
RNAcentral lists this ribosomal RNA (924 nucleotides) under uncultured Bacteroidota bacterium. Its description in RNAcentral is "bacterial SSU rRNA". It matches the Rfam family "Bacterial small subunit ribosomal RNA", at positions 1 to 916 of the family's 1533-position model. Lineage: Bacteria; Pseudomonadati; Bacteroidota. The record is from RNAcentral.